CACCGGCGGCCCGAGUGGUGGCCACUAUUAUUGGGUCUAAAGGGUCCGUAGCCGGUUUGGUCAGUCUUCCGGGAAAUCUGACGGCUUAACCGUUAGGCUUUCGGGGGAUACUACAGGCUUGGGACCGGGAGAGGUAAGAGGUACUACGGGGGUAGGAGUGAAAUCUUGUAAUCCCUGUGGGACCACCAGUGGCGAAGGCGUCUUACCAGAACGGGUCCGACGGUGAGGGACGAAAGCUGGGGGCACGAACCGGAUUAGAUACCCGGGUAGUCCCAGCUGUAAACUAUGCUCGCUAGGUGUCAGGGACGGUGCGACCGUUUCUGGUGCCGCAGGGAAGCCGUGAAGCGAGCCACCUGGGAAGUACGGUCGCAAGGCUGAA
RNAcentral lists this ribosomal RNA (379 nucleotides) under uncultured euryarchaeote. Its description in RNAcentral is "bacterial SSU rRNA". It matches the Rfam family "Archaeal small subunit ribosomal RNA", at positions 474 to 853 of the family's 1478-position model. Lineage: Archaea; Methanobacteriati; Methanobacteriota. The record is from RNAcentral.